This 1279-nucleotide ribosomal RNA is filed under the name uncultured bacterium. RNAcentral's name for it is "bacterial SSU rRNA". It matches the Rfam family "Bacterial small subunit ribosomal RNA", at positions 54 to 1369 of the family's 1533-position model. The record is from RNAcentral.
CAUGCAAGUCAACGCUCUUUGUGGGAACUACAGAGGGAGUGGCGGACGGGUGAGUAACGCGUGGGUUAUCUACCUUGAGGUGAGGAAUACCGGCGAGAAAUCGCCGACAAGACCGCAUAGCCUGGAGUCUCUCCAGGAAAGUUCCGGCGACGGGACGCCCCAAGAUGAGCCUGCGUCCGAUUAGCUUCGUUGGUGGGGUAACGGCCUACCAAAGCGACGAUCGGUAGCUGGUCUGAGAGGACGAUCAGCCACACUGGGAUUGAGAACGGCCCAGACUCCUACGGGGGGCAGCAGUGAGGAAUUUUCGUCAAUGGGGGAAACCCUGAACGAGCAACGCCGCGUGCAGGAAGAAGGUUUUCGGAUCGUAAACUGCUUUUCUCGGGGAAGAGAACGGACGGUACCCGAGGAAGAAGCCCCGGCUAACUACGUGCCAGCAGCCGCGGUAAUACGUAGGGGGCAAGCGUUGUCCGGAUUUAUUGGGCGUAAAGCGCACGCAGGCGGUCUUCUACGUUUCCAGUGACAGGUGGUGGCUCAACUGCCACAGGUCUGGGGAAACGGGUUGACUUGAGGACGAGAGAGGGAUGCGGAAUUCCAAGGUGGAGCGGUGAAAUGCGUAGAGAUCUGGAAGAACACCAAUGGCGAAGGCAGCAUCCUGGAUCGUUUCUGACGCUCCGGUGCGAAAGCCUGGGGAGCGAACGGGAUUAGAUACCCCGGUAGUCCUGGCUGUAAACGAUGACCACUAGACGUAGGAGGUAUCGACCCCUUCCGUGUCGCAGCUAACGCACUAAGUGGUCCGCCUGGGGAGUACGGUCGCAAGAUUAAAACUCAAAGGAAUUGACGGGGACCCGCACAAGCAGCGGAGCGUGUGGUUUAAUUCGAUGCAACGCGAAGAACCUUACCAAGGCUUGACAUGGACUCGCACCAGCCGUAACGGGCUGUCUCUUUCGGGAGCGGGUUCACAGGUGCUGCAUGGCUGUCGUCAGCUCGUGUCGUGAGAUGUUGGGUUAAGUCCCGCAACGAGCGCAACCCCUAUCGUUAGUUGAAUCCUCUAGCGAGACUGCCACGCUAAACGUGGAGGAAGGUGGGGAUGACGUCAAGUCAGCACGGCCCUUACGCAUUGGGCGACACACACGCUACAAUGGUCAGGACAAAGAGUUGCCAACCCGCGAGGGGGAGCUAAUCUCGUCAAACCUGAUCUCAGUUCAGAUUGCAGGCUGCAACCCGCCUGCAUGAGGUCGGAGUUGCUAGUAACCGUAGGUCAGCACACUACAGGUGAUAC